GAUGAAGAACGUAGCGAAAUGCGAUAAGUAGUGUGAAUUGCAGAAUUCAGUGGAUCAUCGAAUCUUUGAACGCACAUUGCGCCCUUUGGUAUUCCUUAGGGCAUGCCUGUUCGAGCGUCAUUUAAACCUUCAAGCUCAGCUUGGUGUUGGGUGACUGUCCGCCGCCUCCGGGCGCGUGGACUCGCCUCAAAAUUAUUGGCGGCCGGUACAUUGGCUUCGAGCGCAGCAGAAACGCGAACUCGGGCCCGUCGUAUUGGCUCCCAGAAGCUAUCUUCACAAUUUUGACCUCGGAUCAGGUAGGGAUACCCGCUGAACUUAAGCAUAUCAAUAAGCGGAGGA
This 339-nucleotide unclassified non-coding RNA is filed under the name soil metagenome. RNAcentral describes it as "partial contains 5.8S ribosomal RNA, internal transcribed spacer 2, and large subunit ribosomal RNA". The stretch from base 1 to 120 matches the Rfam family "5.8S ribosomal RNA", at positions 35 to 154 of the family's 154-position model. The record is from RNAcentral.